This 465-nucleotide ribosomal RNA is filed under the name uncultured bacterium. RNAcentral describes it as "bacterial SSU rRNA". It matches the Rfam family "Bacterial small subunit ribosomal RNA", at positions 338 to 795 of the family's 1533-position model. The record is from RNAcentral.
CCUACGGGAUGCACCAGUGGGGAAUAUUGCACAAUGGGCGCAAGCCUGAUGCAGCCAUGCCGCGUGUAUGAAGAAGGCCUUCGGGUUGUAAAGUACUUUCAGCGAGGAGGAAGGCAUUAAGGUUAAUAACCUUAGCGAUUGACGUUACUCGCAGAAGAAGCACCGGCUAACUCCGUGCCAGCAGCCGCGGUAAUACGGAGGGUGCAAGCGUUAAUCGGAAUUACUGGGCGUAAAGCGCACGCAGGCGGUCUGUCAAGUCGGAUGUGAAAUCCCCGGGCUCAACCUGGGAACUGCAUUCGAAACUGGCAGGCUAGAGUCUUGUAGAGGGGGGUAGAAUUCCAGGUAUAGCGGUGAAAUGCGUAGAGAUGUGGAGGAACACCAGUGGCGAAGGCGGCUCUCUGGUCUGUAACUGACGCUGAGGCGCGAAAGCGUGGGGAGCAAACAGGAUUAGAUACCCCUGUAGUC